UGGGGAAUAUUGGACAAUGGGCGAAAGCCUGAUCCAGCCAUGCCGCGUGUGUGAAGAAGGUCUUCGGAUUGUAAAGCACUUUAAGUUGGGAGGAAGGGCAUUAACCUAAUACGUUAGUGUUUUGACGUUACCGACAGAAUAAGCACCGGCUAACUCUGUGCCAGCAGCCGCGGUAAUACAGAGGGUGCAAGCGUUAAUCGGAAUUACUGGGCGUAAAGCGCGCGUAGGUGGUUUGUUAAGUUGGAUGUGAAAUCCCCGGGCUCAACCUGGGAACUGCAUUCAAAACUGACUGACUAGAGUAUGGUAGAGGGUGGUGGAAUUUCCUGUGUAGCAGUGAAAUGCGUAGAUAUAGGAAGGAACACCAGUUGCGAAGGCGACCACCUGGACUAAUACUGACACUGAGGUGCGAAAGCGUGGGGAGCAAACA
RNAcentral lists this ribosomal RNA (427 nucleotides) under uncultured bacterium. Its description in RNAcentral is "partial 16S ribosomal RNA". It matches the Rfam family "Bacterial small subunit ribosomal RNA", at positions 355 to 774 of the family's 1533-position model. The record is from RNAcentral.